UGGGGCAUAGCCAAAUGGUAAGGCAACGGGUUUUGAUCCCGUGAUUCCAGGUUCGAAUCCUGGUGCCCCAG
Molecule: transfer RNA, 71 nt
Filed under: Candidatus Blochmannia ocreatus (nom. nud.)
Lineage: Bacteria; Pseudomonadati; Pseudomonadota; Gammaproteobacteria; Enterobacterales; Enterobacteriaceae
Description: Candidatus Blochmannia ocreatus tRNA-Gln
Rfam family: tRNA
About the family: Transfer RNA (tRNA) molecules are approximately 80 nucleotides in length. Their secondary structure includes four short double-helical elements and three loops (D, anti-codon, and T loops).
Source: RNAcentral